CCUACGGGGGGCUGCAGUGGGGAAUAUUGGACAAUGGGGGCAACCCUGAUCCAGCCAUGCCGCGUGUGUGAAGAAGGCCCUCGGGUUGUAAAGCACUUUCAGUGAGGAAGAACGCCUGGUGGUUAAUACCCAUCAGGAAAGACAUCACUCACAGAAGAAGCACCGGCUAACUCCGUGCCAGCAGCCGCGGUAAUACGGAGGGUGCGAGCGUUAAUCGGAAUUACUGGGCGUAAAGCGCGCGUAGGUGGCUUGAUAAGCCGGUUGUGAAAGCCCCGGGCUCAACCUGGGAACGGCAUCCGGAACUGUCAAGCUAGAGUGCAGGAGAGGAAGGUAGAAUUCCCGGUGUAGCGGUGAAAUGCGUAGAGAUCGGGAGGAAUAACAGUGGCGAAGGCGGCCUUCUGGACUGACACUGACACUGAGGUGCGAAAGCGUGGGUAGCAAACAGGAUUAGAUACCCGGGUAGUC
RNAcentral lists this ribosomal RNA (465 nucleotides) under Vreelandella stevensii. RNAcentral describes it as "partial 16S ribosomal RNA". It matches the Rfam family "Bacterial small subunit ribosomal RNA", at positions 338 to 795 of the family's 1533-position model. Lineage: Bacteria; Pseudomonadati; Pseudomonadota; Gammaproteobacteria; Oceanospirillales; Halomonadaceae. The record is from RNAcentral.